AUUAGAUACCCCACUAUGCUUAAGCCUUUAACCAAGACAAAAUAAACCCUCAGUCCGCCAGAACACUACGAGCAAAAGCUUAAAACUCAAGAGACUUGACGGUGUUGCAACCGGCCUAGAGGAGCCUGUCCAAUAAUCGAUAACCCACGCUCCACCUCACCCCCCCUAGCCUGCAGCCUAUAUACCGCCGUCGAAAGCCCACCUUUUGAAAGCCUCCACCGUGAGCAAGAUAGUCAGACCACUAACACGUCAGGUCAAGGUGUAGCUAAUGGGGCGGACACAAGAUGGGCUACAUUUUCUACCACAGGACCUACCAUAUACCGCAUGAAACACGGACAAAAGCUGGAUUUAGCAGUAAGCACAACUAGAUAAGUCGUA
This 378-nucleotide ribosomal RNA is filed under the name Paroedura oviceps. RNAcentral's name for it is "partial 12S ribosomal RNA". It matches the Rfam family "Bacterial small subunit ribosomal RNA", at positions 777 to 1361 of the family's 1533-position model. Lineage: Eukaryota; Metazoa; Chordata; Lepidosauria; Squamata; Gekkonidae. The record is from RNAcentral.